RNAcentral lists this transfer RNA (73 nucleotides) under Variovorax sp. WDL1. Its description in RNAcentral is "tRNA-His". It matches the Rfam family "tRNA". From Rfam's summary of the family: Transfer RNA (tRNA) molecules are approximately 80 nucleotides in length. Their secondary structure includes four short double-helical elements and three loops (D, anti-codon, and T loops). RNAcentral also lists the same sequence under 1 other name. Lineage: Bacteria; Pseudomonadati; Pseudomonadota; Betaproteobacteria; Burkholderiales; Comamonadaceae. The record is from RNAcentral.
UUGGACGUCGCCUAGCGGUCCAAGGCUGAAGGCUGUGACCCUUCCAUCGCGAGUUCGAAUCUCGUCGUUCAAC